This is a non-coding RNA of Oryctolagus cuniculus (rabbit), 2697 nucleotides long. The record is from RefSeq and is a predicted model, not a curated record. NCBI's taxonomy places the organism in Eukaryota, Metazoa, Chordata, Mammalia, Lagomorpha, Leporidae.
CGGCUGGACAGACAAGUGGGGAGCCGCUCCGUCGGCUCGUGGGAAGUCAGAUCCCCGUGCCGUCCAAGGUUGUCAGUGCCGACCACCUGAGACAAAUCCGUCAGUGAGGCGAGCUUCAUGCCUGCAGAGGGGCACAUGCGUGGCGACAGCUCACGUGGCGGUGCCGAUGGAGGGGAGUUUAUUUCACGUGCUUGUCGGGAGUGCCUAACAGCGGGUGGUGAGCUAACCGACACAGGCAGGGCGGCACUCGGGGACGGAUGCAGUGACCAAGAUGGCCGGGAAGACGGUGCGGCUGCUCACGUCUCUAGGACACAGGCAGGACUCACGGCGUGUCGAGUGGGAAUGUGCAGCUGGCAGAGGUGUGGGCGUGGGAGGAAGGGCGGUGGGCGCUGAGUGACCAGCACGCCGGGGCACACCCCCACGCCAGCCGUUCUCCAGAACGCAGAGGCCGGGAGGCCAGGGGCCUGGAGCUGGCAGCCGUGAUGGACUCCAGUUCUUCCAGCAGUUCUCACGCUCACUACUAGGCGUCCACACAAUGCAUGCGGGAGCCAGAAAACAGAGGAAUGACAGCGCACUGUCCCAUCGUGACAGCUGUCCACCAGGCCAGGAGAGCCAGCUGUCCAUGCUGGAGAAGGAAGCUGACCAUGCUGUGGCCUUAGGCUCGUGCCCUCUGCCCCCUCCAAGUCCUGUGCAGAGACCCAACUCCCAUGGUGAUAAGGGGGUCCCUCAAGAGGCGAAGCCGUCGGCGGGGAGCCCUAGGUGUGGGAUCAGUGCCCUCCUGAAGGAGGCUUGGGGGGGUGGGCGUUCGGCCCAGCAGUGGGGUGACCUCGACCUACAUGAGACCGCCUGGACUCAAGUCCCAGCUCGGACGCCUGACUCCAGUUUCCUGCCAAUGCCUUCUCUGGGACGCAGCAGUGAUGGCUCAAGAAUGCAGCUCCUGCCAGUCACAUGGGAGUCCCGGAUGGAGCUCCCAGCUCCCGCCUUGGGCGGAGCGCCACCCUGGCUGUCACAGGCAUUGGGGAGUGAAUGAGCAGAGGGCAGAGCUCUGUCUGUCUGUCUCCUCCUCCUGUCUCCCCAGCUUUCUAGUAAACAAAGCACGUUCCUUAAAGCAGAAGGCCGCAUCCCUGAAGCAGGAAGCAGCUCCCAGCAGCCUCAGGACCUGCCGGUGCGUGGCCUUGCACUCCCAGCUGCAGACCACCUCCGUUGUGUGUAAGCCACCAGUCUCUGCGCUCUGCCGUGGCCGCAUGCUGCACACACUGUCCAGGAAAACAAAACCGGGCGUUACCUGAGUGGUUAGGCAUUCGGAAAAACCUGUGGGGAACUGGGAGACGACCUGGGAGCCCGGCACAGAGAAAUGGGAGCAGAUGCAGGAGGAGGCGAUUCUUGCCUUUAGGACAGGAGGAAGGUUCGCAGAGGCCGCGCGUCAAUAUUGCACCCUCCGCGGGCAGCAGUGGGCAGCAUUCACACGCUUGGAUCUGAGCGUAUCUGAGGCUGGGAGGACGGAGGCGCAGACGUAAACUCCUGAGAGCAGCACAGGUAAACUAGAAUCCCUGCGGAAGUGAGGGAGCCGCAGCGGACUGCAGAGGCAGCGGCGAGGACCGCAGUGGCUGCCGCGCGGUCGCUGGGGGCGGGCAGGGGCUCUGCUGCUGUCCUGUGGUAGUCUUCAGAGGCCAACCCGCUCACUUCUACCUGUUACCUGAAGGAGAGAAGCUUUCAAUGUUUAAAUGUUGAGAGAAAAUACAAAAGUCCAGCUUUCUGCUCAACAAGUUGGAGGAAAAUAUAUAUCUCAGUAAGCAUAGAGAGGAACGGACAAGGCCAAUGAAAAGAACAGUAAGAGCCAAACCAAGAUAACAAUGCAGCCUAACCACUGAGGGCCCCAGUGACGCAGAAGGAAUCUGCGGCGAGAAUAACAGGAGAGGCACUGGCACUGUGGCGCAGCGGGUUAACACCCUGGCCUGCAGUGCCGGCAUCCCAGAUGGGCGCCGGUUCUAGUCCUGGCUGCUCCACUUCCCAUCCAGCCCUCUGCUGUGGCCUGGGAGAGCAGCAGAAGACAGCCCAGGUCCUUGGGCCCAUGCACCCACGUGGGAGACCUGGAGGGAGCUCCUGGCUCCUUGCUUUGGAUCGGGGCAGCUCUGGCUAUUGCAGCCAGUUGGGGAGUGAACCAGUGGAUGGAAGACCUCUCUCUCUCUCUGCCUCUCCUUUUCUCUCUUUCAAAUAAAUAGAUAAAUCUUUUUUUAAAAAAAAAAGAAUUAACGGGAGGAAAGUGGGCGGAAGUCACUGAACCCCACUGGAACAGGAGGGGUCGCCUGCCUGUGGCUGUGAGGCCGCACUUUCUCAGAAAGCACUGUUCACUACUGCGCAGAACGAGUCUGAGCAGCUGUUCGAAAGGGUGAUUCUCCAGGACUGCACUGUGGGUGCUCCCUUCAACUCAGUGUCCAGGCAAAGAACAGAAACCACAGCAGAAACUGGGGUCUGGGGACAGGCCAGCUGUGUGCGGCUCACCCAGGGGCUUCAGCCACUGCUGUGCUGUCGAAAGCUUCAGGAGUAUAUGGUAACGAGUCUUCCCACCCCACUCCAGGAAUCUGACUUCACCACGGUGCUAGUUCUAAAUACAACUGCAGCACGCCCAGAGGAAAGCUGUGGGCAACAGCACCAUGGAGCAAAGCUGCAAAAAUACUAAAAACAAACAAACAAACA